UCAUUUGCACACCAGAUGAAGCUGGCUCGCACAGGGACCACGUUUGUGAUAAAUACAGUCUUUAAAAGUUAGCCUCUAUCCAGCCUUAAAAAUGAAGGAAAUCUAACCAUUUGCUACAACAUGGAUGAACCAGGAGGACAUUAUCCUAAGUGAAUUAAGCCAGACACAGAAGGCCAAAUACUGUAUAAUUCCACUUAUAUGAAGUAUCCAGUCAAACUCAUGGAAACAGAGAGCAGAAGGGUUUCUGGGGGCUGGGAGAAAGGGGAAAUUGUGAGGUGCUACUCAAUAGGUAUAAACCUUCAGUUAUAUAAGACAAAUGAAUUCUAGAGAUCUGCUGUACAACACUGUGCCUAUAUUGUAUUGUAUUGUAUACUCAAAAAUCUGUUAAGAGAGCAAAUCUCACAUUAAAUGUGAGACCUACAGGCACAAUGGCAUAUGCCUGUAGUCCCUGCUACUCAGGAGGUUGAGGCAAGAGUAUAGCUUGAGCCCAGGUGUUUGAGUCCAGUGUGGGCAAUAUAGCAAGACCCUGUCUCUAAAAAAAAAAAAAAAAAGAAAGAAAGAUUAAAAAAUGUUUUUACCACAGUAAAAUACACUUUAAAAAAAAAAAAACUCCAUUCCCCGUGGUUUGCUUGGUUUGGUUUGAUUUGGUCUGGUCUUACUACUGCUGCCUCUCCGUUUGACUGGCAAAGUGUGACUGGCACUGCUACUGUGGAAAUAACCUCAACUAACUCCCCCUGAGUUUUACACAGCCUCUUUAUUGCCUCCACAGCUCAAAACUAUACAUUCUCUAAUUCUAAGACUUAUUUUUAUUAUUUUUAAAUACUAAUUUGUUCAUACAAUGGAUAUCCAGGUGGUACUGUUCUUAAGAGGAUUUUAAAGAAGGUACACCCAGUAUGUUUUAUAUUUAACCUAUGGCUGCUUCUCAAGAGUGUUUGUAAAUUGAGAACUGUCUGUAUUGCAUGUGUGAUGUCAUUAAAUAUUUGAUUUCAGUAUGUUUAAACAGAAAAAAAAAUAGAACUCACAAAGGAUCAACUGGAAUGAGUAUUCACUUUAAAUCAUUUGUAAAAGGUCAAUAAUGGGGUAAGAAUAGCCCCUACCUCAGAGUUGAUGAGAGAAAUGAAUAUGCACACAUUUACAAAGACCUUAAAGUAGUGCGUACCCUAAGCCUUAUAUGAAGAUUAUUAUUCUUUCUAAUUACAAUAAUUCUAAUUGCAGAAAUCUAUGCGAAAACAAUACACAGUUCUGGCCAAAAGAAGUUAAAACAAAUGUGAAAAAUAAGCGACAUCCAGAAACUUCAGCAGCUCCCUUCUGUCCUAUGCCUCAAGGUACCAGAGAGGGAAAAAGACCCCCAGGAGAGGCUGUGAGGAAACCUGAACUGCAAACCCACCACGAUGUCUUCCUGGGAAAGGCAAGUUGGUAAAGAAAGAUGUGAACUCUAUUUCAGGGUAGUAUGUUUUUUUCAUUUGCUUCCAAGACUUUGAUGGAAUGACUUGAGAGGAAAAGUUCACAAUUACUAGAAAGAACCUAAAAGGACAUGAGAGAUGAAACCGUUGCAGUAUUUUUGAAAUAAAUGUUUUCCUGCAAGAGCAGAGUCAUGGGCGGGGUGUCUGUGUAAUAUCUACUCAACACAGCCGAAGGGUAAGAGGAAAUCCUGCACUCUCCCAAGCAGGACAUCCCUGCACCGCCCGGCGCGUUCGCGAAAACUCCGCGGGGCCUCGAGGCGUCCCGGGAUUAGCCCUGACGCUGUAGGGCUCUCUAGGUUUUCCACGACGCAGGGGAGCGUAACUGGAGCGCACCCGACAGCCUCUCAGCUUGCCCAGGCUCGACUGGAUGGGGCUUUGCUGGACCCCCGACCCGACCCCCACACACCCGGGCGGCGGGGCCCAGGUACCUGCCAACGCCUCCGCACCUCAUCGUCCCCUCUGCUUCCCCUCCUCCCUCUCCCCGAACCCUUCCCCCCUCCUCCCCGCCUCCUCCCCGCCUCCUCUUCGCCUCCUCCUCCACCUUCUCCUCCCCCCGACCCCUGCUCCCACUCUUGGCUCCAAAACAUGGAUGAACCUCAAGAACAUUAUGCUAAGUGGAAAAAAGUCAGGCACAGAAAGACAAAUCACAUAAUCUUAUUUGUAUGUGGAACCGGAAACACUCAAACUCAUAGAAGUAAAGAAUAGAAUGAUGGUUACCAAAGACUGAGGGAGUGGAGGGGAGGAGGUUUGGGGAAAUGUUGGUCAAAAGAUAACAAAAUUUCAGUUAGAUAGGAGGAAUGAGUUCAAGAGCUCUAUUGUACAACAUGGUGACUAUAGUUAAUAACAAUGUAUUGUAUUUUGAAAAUUGCUAAGAAAAUAGGUUUUAACUGUUCUCACCACAAAAAAUCAGUAUGUGAGGUAAUGCCUAUGUUAUUUGGCUCGAUUUAACCAUUCCACAGUGUAUACAUAUUUCAAAACAUCGUGUUGUACAUGAUAGAUACAAUUUUUAUUAGCCAAUUUUAAACAUUUAAUUAUUCUCCAGUCUUCACUAUUUGAGGAAAAAAAUUAAGUUAAAUACAUAAGAAGCUGGGCGC
This 2557-nucleotide long non-coding RNA is filed under the name Homo sapiens (human). RNAcentral describes it as "non-protein coding lnc-SLC38A2-1:7". The record is from RNAcentral. Lineage: Eukaryota; Metazoa; Chordata; Mammalia; Primates; Hominidae.